This 253-nucleotide ribosomal RNA is filed under the name uncultured bacterium. Its description in RNAcentral is "partial 16S ribosomal RNA". It matches the Rfam family "Bacterial small subunit ribosomal RNA", at positions 524 to 776 of the family's 1533-position model. The record is from RNAcentral.
UACGUAGGGUGCAAGCGUUACUCGGAAUUACUGGGCGUAAAGCGUGCGCAGGCGGUUUUGUAAGUCUGUCGUGAAAUCCCCGGGCUCAACCUGGGAAUUGCGAUGGAGACUGCAAGGCUAGAAUCUGGCAGAGGGGGGUAGAAUUCCACGUGUAGCAGUGAAAUGCGUAGAGAUGUGGAGGAACACCGAUGGCGAAGGCAGCCCCCUGGGAUAACACUGACGCUCAUGCACGAAAGCGUGGGGAGCAAACAGG